Molecule: ribosomal RNA, 407 nt
Filed under: uncultured bacterium
Lineage: Bacteria
Description: partial 16S ribosomal RNA
Rfam family: Bacterial small subunit ribosomal RNA
Source: RNAcentral
AUUGAACGCUGGCGGCAGGCCUAACACAUGCAAGUAGAGCGGAGCGGCGGACGGGUGAGGAAUGUCGGGGAAAAUGCCUGAUGGCGGUGGAUAACUACUGGAAACAGUAGCUAAUACCGCAUACUAUCACAUGAGCCUAGGUCGGCUAAGAUAGUUGGUGGGGUAAAGGCCUACCAAGGCGACGAUCCGUAACUGGUCUGAGUGGAUGAUCAGUCACACUGGAACUGAAACACGGUCCAGACUCCUACGGGAGGCAGCAGUGGGGAAUAUUGGACAAUGGGCGAAAGCCUGAUCCAGCCAUGCCGCGUGUGUGAAGAAGGUCUUCGGAUUGUAAAGCACUUUAAGUUGGGAGGCGUUACCAACAGAAUAAGCACCGGCUAACUUCGUGCCAGCAGCCGCGGUAAUAC